Molecule: ribosomal RNA, 497 nt
Filed under: uncultured bacterium
Lineage: Bacteria
Description: partial 16S ribosomal RNA
Rfam family: Bacterial small subunit ribosomal RNA
Source: RNAcentral
AUUGAACGCUGGCGGCAUGCUUUACACAUGCAAGUCGAACGGUAACAGGCCGCAAGGUGCUGACGAGUGGCGAACGGGUGAGUAAUGCAUCGGAACGUGCCCAGUCGUGGGGAUAACGCAGCGAAAGCUGUGCUAAUACCGCAUACGAUCUAUGGAUGAAAGCGGGGGACCGUAAGGACUCGCGCGAUUGGAGCGGCCGAUGUCAAAUUAGGUAGUUGGUGGGGUAAAGGCUCACCAAGCCAACGAUCUGUAGCUGGUCUGAGAGGACGACCAGCCACACUGGGACUGAGACACGGCCCAGACUCCUACGGGAGGCAGCAGUGGGGAAUUUUGGACAAUGGGCGCAAGCCUGAUCCAGCAAUGCCGCGUGCAGGAAGAAGGCCUUCGGGUUGUAAACUGCUUUUGUACGGAACGAAAAGGUUUGGGUUAAUACCCUGGGCCGAUGACGGUACCGUAAGAAUAAGCACCGGCUAACUACGUGCCAGCCGCCGCGGUAA